CCUACGGGUGGCUGCAGUGAGGAAUAUUGGUCAAUGGGCGCAAGCCUGAACCAGCCACGUAGCGUGAGGGAAGACUGCCCUACGGGUUGUAAACUUCUUUUAUGAAGGAGUAAAGGCGUGCAAGUGUGGGUUUUUGCAGGUACGGUAUGAAUCAGGAACGGCUAAGUACGUGCCAGCCGCCGCGGUAAUACGUAGGGUGCGGGCGUUAUCCGGAUUUAUUGGGUUUAAAGGGAGCGUAGGCGGGUUGUUAAGUCUGCUGUGAAGUUAUGCGGCUCAACCGUAGAAGUGCAGUGGAUACUGGGAGACUUGAGUGCAGGAGAGGAAGGCGGAACUCGAGGUGUAGCGGUGGAAUGCUUAGAUAUCACGAAGAACACCGAUUGCGAAGGCAGCUGUCUGGACUGCAACUGACGCUGAGGCUCGAAAGCGUGGGUAUCGAACAGGAUUAGAUACCCGAGUAGUC
This 460-nucleotide ribosomal RNA is filed under the name uncultured bacterium. RNAcentral's name for it is "partial 16S ribosomal RNA". It matches the Rfam family "Bacterial small subunit ribosomal RNA", at positions 338 to 795 of the family's 1533-position model. The record is from RNAcentral.